Molecule: ribosomal RNA, 864 nt
Filed under: uncultured archaeon
Lineage: Archaea
Description: bacterial SSU rRNA
Rfam family: Archaeal small subunit ribosomal RNA
Source: RNAcentral
UUUCCGGUUGAUCCUGCCGGACCUGACUGCUAUCGGAUUGAUACUAAGCCAUGCGAGUCAUUGUAGCAAUACAAGGCAGACGGCUCAGUAACGCGUAGUCAAUCUACCCUAUGGACGGGGAUAACCUCGGGAAAGUGAGAAUAAUACCCGACAGAACAUUAUGCCUGGAAUGGCUUAUGUUUUAAAUGAUUUAUCGCCGUAGGAUGGGACUGCGGCCUAUCAGUUUGUUGGUGAGGUAAUGGCCCACCAAGACUAUUACAGGUACGGGCUCUGAGAGGAGUGGCCCGGAUAUGGGUACUGAGACACGGGCCCAGGCCCUAUGGCGCGCAGCAGGCGAGAAAACUUUGCAAUGGGCGAAAGCACGACGAGGUUAAUCCGAGUGGUUUCUGCUAAAAAAACCUUUUGUUACUCCUAGACCCAYUGGYGAAUAAGGGGUGGUCAAGUUCUCGUGUCAUCCGCCGCGGUAAAACCAGCACCUCAAGAGGUCAGGAUGAUUAUUGGGCCUAAGGCAUCGGUAGCUUGCUUUGAAAGUUCUCGGUUAAAUCCAUACGCUUAACGUAUGGGCUGCCGGUAAUACUGCAAAGCUACGGAGUGGGAGAGGUAGACGGUACUCGGUAGGAAGGGGUAAAAUCCUUUGAUCUAUUGAUGACCACGUGUGGCGAAGGCGGUCUACCAGAACACGUCCGACGGUGAGGGAUGAAAGCUGGGGGAGCAAACCCGAUUAGAUACCCGGGUAGUCCCAGCUGUAAACUAUGCAAACUCAGUGAUGCACUGGCUUGUGGCCAAUGCAGUGCUGCAGGGAAGCCGUUAAGUUUGCCGCCUGGGAAGUACGUACGCAAGUAUGAAACUUAAAGGAAUUGGCGG